Molecule: long non-coding RNA, 296 nt
Organism: Homalodisca vitripennis (glassy-winged sharpshooter)
Lineage: Eukaryota; Metazoa; Arthropoda; Insecta; Hemiptera; Cicadellidae
Exons: 3
Source: RefSeq, a predicted model, not a curated record
GUGUUGACAUUCAAGAUUGUAGUUUCUACGGUGUUAUGAGUUUGUAAUACUUAUUACGUUGCUACUAUUCAUUCAUUUGGCAGACUCCACAGCUUGUGUAAAACAGUAGCAAUGACUGUAGGUCUUGAUGAGAGGAAGAAUUUUAUUUUGUCCACUGCAGGGAACUAUUUUCAACAAUCUUCCCCAUCUGACCAAGACGAAGGCUUGUGGAAGAAUGAUUUCUUGAACGACUUCCUUGAAGACGCAGGCUGUUUUAUUCUGACGGUGCAGAGCAAGGCAGAUUCUAGCCUAUAUUU